CGGAUUGUAGUCUGCAACUCGACUACAUGAAGCUGGAAUCGCUAGUAAUCGCGAAUCAGAAUGUCGCGGUGAAUACGUUCCCGGGUCUUGUACACACCGCCCGUCACACCAUGGGAGUCAGUAACGCCCGAAGUCAGUGACCCAACCGGAACCGGAGGGAGCUGCCGAAGGUGGGACCGAUAACUGGGGUGAAGUCGUAACAAGGUAGC
Molecule: ribosomal RNA, 209 nt
Filed under: uncultured bacterium
Lineage: Bacteria
Description: partial 16S ribosomal RNA
Rfam family: Bacterial small subunit ribosomal RNA
Source: RNAcentral